Molecule: small RNA, 108 nt
Filed under: Pantoea allii
Lineage: Bacteria; Pseudomonadati; Pseudomonadota; Gammaproteobacteria; Enterobacterales; Erwiniaceae
Description: partial RtT sRNA
Rfam family: RtT RNA
About the family: This family represents a bacterial cis-regulatory element known as RtT RNA. The exact function of RtT is unknown although it is thought that it may be involved in changing the cellular response in relation to amino acid starvation.
Source: RNAcentral
GAUGAGAACCUUCGAUCAAGGUUCGAGUCGAGCAUCGCGAGACAACGCGCGCAAGCGCGGCCCGCAGGGUGAGGCGCGACGCGCCGAAUAAUCCUGACAUCAAGCCCC